ACCUGAAAUUCCCAGGAUUAAAGCAGCUUCCUUGCAGAGCUCAUGCCAGGUGUGUCUUCAACUGCCUUCUUGGCUCCAUCCACCCCACCCCCCUGCCCAUGUCACUGUUUUAAUACAGAUCUUUGAGCAGUAUUUUGGUGAGGCUUGAAUUAAAUAAGAAAAGAAAUAGGCGUUUUACAAGAUUUUUUUUAACCUCCAGGACUUCCAUGUCUAACAGGCUCUGAAGAGAGGCUGUGAGCUGCUCUGCUCUGGCUGCCCCAGGUAAGCAGGGCCCUCUGACAAUAACAUGGGCUUGGGGAGGGAGGAGGUUGUCUAAAUUUUUACAUCCUGAGAUUGCUGGCAUCUGCAUUCCUGGAAUGCAAGGCCACACAGGGUGGAUGGAGAGUCAUGGAACCAAAGAGAGCUGUCUCCAGAGAAGAUUCUCAAUGACCCGGCACUCACUUAACUGUGAAAAAGAUUUUUGUGGGGGCAAAGAGAAGACACUGAAGAACACCAUCUAAGAGACUAUUUUGAACAAUAUGGGAUAAUUGAAGUUAUUGAAAUCAUGACUGACUGGGACAGUGGCAAAAGGAGAGGCUUUGCUUUUGUAACCUUUGAUGACCAUGAUUCUGUCGACAAGCCUGUCAUUCAGAAAUACCGUACUGUGAAUGGCCACAACUGUGUGUGGAAACUCUUAUCACAGCAAGAGAUGGCUAGAGCCUCAUCCAGCCAAAGAGGAUGAAGUGGGUCUGGAAACUUUGGUGGUGGCUUUGGUGGCAGUGACAACUUUGGCCAAGGAGGAGACUUUAGUGGUCAAGGUGGCUUUGUAGGCAGCUGAGGUGGUGGCCAAUGUGGUGGCAGUGGGGAUGGCUACAAUGAAUUUGGCAAUGAUGGAAGUAAUUUUGGAGGUGGCAGAAACUAUCUUUUUUUUUUUUUUUGGCAAUCACAGUAACCAGUCCUCAAAUUUUGGCCCUAUGAAAGGUGGAAACUUUGGAGGCCAAAGCUCUGGCCCCUAUGAUGGUGGUAGCCAGUAUUUUGCCAAACCACAAGACCAAGGUGGAUAUGGUGCCUGCAAGAGCAGCUGUAGCUAUGGCAGCAGCAGAAGGUUUUAAUCUCCAGGAAACAAAGCUUAGCAGGAGAGCAGAGCCAGAGAGGUGACAGGGAAGCAACAGGUCACAACAUAUUUGUGAACUCAGCCAAGCACAGUGGUGGCAGGGCCUAGCUGCUACAAAGAAGACUUGUGUUGGACAAUACUCUUGUGUAUGGGGAAAAAAACUUUGAAGGACUGUAUCUGUGACUAACUGUAUAACAGGUUAUUUUAGUUUCUGUUCUGUGGGAAGUGUAAAGCAUUCCAAUGAAGGGUUUUAAUGUAGUUUUUUUUUUCACCCAUGCUGUUGAUUGCUAAAUGUAAUAGUCUGAUCAUGAUGCUGAAUACAUGUGUCUUAAAAAAAAAAAAAACACUGUGCUACUGAAUAUAAAUAAAUAUGAACACUGGACACAGAGCUGGCUCACACAGGAGAGCAUUUUCCUUACUGCAUAUGAGAUUUCAGGUCUGAGCACCCCACAGGAGCACCACAGGAAGUGUAAGUUCCACUUGGGGUGGAGCACCGUGGUGGAAUCCCUCCUCUCUCAACCUCACAGAAACAAAACAAUGAAAAAGCCAACACAUGUGUCCUGGGAUCAGGUAAGGUCCAAUUUUCUGGAGAUCCCUCCCCUGAAACUUUAAAAAAAUGUAUUCGUAAAAAAAACAUAGGAAAAACAACUCCACACAAUUCCUAUCCCCAGAACUCUGUAUCCUAUCCCUUCCCUUGACAACUUCC
RNA transcript from Erinaceus europaeus (western European hedgehog), 1799 nucleotides. It is a transcript of the gene named heterogeneous nuclear ribonucleoprotein A1-like, with no coding region annotated. The transcript has a single exon. NCBI's taxonomy places the organism in Eukaryota, Metazoa, Chordata, Mammalia, Eulipotyphla, Erinaceidae. The record is from RefSeq and is a predicted model, not a curated record.